CCAAUAGCGUAUAUUAAAGUUGUUGCAGUUAAAAAGCUCGUAGUUGAAUUUCGGGAUUGACACAUCGGUCGUGCCCUAAGGGGUAUGAACUGGUGUAGUCAAUUUCUCACCUUCUGGAGAACCGCGCUGUCCUUAAUUGGGUGACGCGGGGAACCAGGACCUUUACUUUGAAAAAAUUAGAGUGUUUAAAGCAGGCAUUUGCUUGAAUACAUUAGCAUGG
Molecule: ribosomal RNA, 220 nt
Filed under: uncultured Entrophospora
Lineage: Eukaryota; Fungi; Glomeromycota; Glomeromycetes; Entrophosporales; Entrophosporaceae
Description: uncultured Claroideoglomus partial small subunit ribosomal RNA
Rfam family: Eukaryotic small subunit ribosomal RNA
Source: RNAcentral